AGCAGCCGCGGUAAUUCCAGCUCCAAUAGCGUAUAUUAAAGUUGUUGCAGUUAAAAAAGCUCGUAGUUGAAUUUCGGGAUCAGUGCGCUGGUCGUGCCUUCGGUAUGUACUGGUGUUACUGGUUCCUACCUUCUGACGAACCGUCAUGUCAUUAAUUUGGUGUGGCGGGGAAUCAGGACUGUUACUUUGAAAAAAUUAGAGUGUUUAAAGCAGGCUCGCGCUUGAAUACAUUAGCAUGGAAUAAUGAAAUAGGACGUUCGAUCCUAUUUUGUUGGUUUCUAGGAUUGACGUAAUGAUUAAUAGGGAUAGUUGGGGGCAUUAGUAUUCAAUUGUCAGAGGUGAAAUUCUUGGAUUUAUUGAAGACUAACUACUGCGAAAGCAUUUGCCAAGGAUGUUUUCAUUAAUCAAGAACGAAAGUUAGGGGAUCGAAGACGAUCAGAUACCGUCGUAGUCUUAACCAUAAACUAUGCCGACUAGGGAUCGGAUGAUGUUAUUUUUUAAUGA
RNAcentral lists this small RNA (504 nucleotides) under uncultured Glomus. RNAcentral describes it as "SSU rRNA". It matches the Rfam family "Eukaryotic small subunit ribosomal RNA", at positions 569 to 1074 of the family's 1831-position model. Lineage: Eukaryota; Fungi; Glomeromycota; Glomeromycetes; Glomerales; Glomeraceae. The record is from RNAcentral.